UACGUAGGCAGCAAGCGUUGUUCGGAGUUACUGGGCGUAAAGAGUGCGUAGGCGGUCUGGCAAGUUCGGUGUGAAAUCUCCCGGCUUAACUGGGAGGGUGCGCCGAAGACUGUUGGGCUGGAGUGUGGGAGAGGCAAGCGGAAUUCCUGGUGUAGCGGUGAAAUGCGUAGAUAUCAGGAGGAACACCGGUGGUGUAGGCGGCUUGCUGGACCAUAACUGACGCUGAGGCACGAAAGCGUGGGGAG
Molecule: ribosomal RNA, 245 nt
Filed under: uncultured bacterium
Lineage: Bacteria
Description: partial 16S ribosomal RNA
Rfam family: Bacterial small subunit ribosomal RNA
Source: RNAcentral